UUUUUUAAAGGCAAAAACACCGGUUACCUGCAGAAAUCACGAGCGGGUAUAAAUUACAGCUGUCCCUCGGCCCCCCGCCCUCCUCGGUGCCCUGACGUUGCUUGGCGUGCCCGCUCCAGAGCCGAAGGUGCAGAGUUACGCCGUAUCCCCCCCACUACUGCGCUCAGGACGCUGCCAUAUUCCAAAUAGCAUAAGUGGGCCUCUGCGCAUGCGCGACGUCUGCCCUGUCAUGCGGCGGUCAGCUGAUUGGACUGUCAGAACUCGGGGGGUAGCGAUAACCGGUCCCAGAGUGUGUUAACUAUAAUUCAUCAAUCCAAUACCAGCCCUGCCUGCAAAGAGGAGGUUGAGGUGCAGCAUGAUGACAAAGCCAUUCAACACAUUGGUUCUCUACACCUAAAGAUGAGAUGACUAACCUUGAUUGGAGGUAAAGGGGAAACAUCUUGGCCUCUGUGCUGGACUGAUGUUGCACACUCAACUCCAUCGGCACAGAGUGGUCACGUUAUUAAGCAUCUGAUUUGAUCACACUACUAUCAUAGGAGUGACAAAGAACCUGUGUCCGCAAGCCUCAGGUAGGAUGUUAAUGAAUGUCAUUCAUAUAUUUGCUUGCAUGACAAUGGGUUUAUGGAAACAUUGGCUUAUUGUAUGUUUAAUUGGACAAACUCUCUUUUUAUGUUACAUUUUUGGGAGCUUUUAAUGGCACAGCAUACAUUGACGCAAUGCUGGUAUGUAAUGUUUAAUCUUUAGAUUUAUCUAAAAUAAAAAGACCAAGUUUUCCACUUCAUGAAUUUUACAUUUUAACCUUUGACGUUUGACUCCUAAAGCCCAUGUAUCGUCUUUCCAGACAUAACAACAGUGAUGUCCAAACUGAGGCCGAGGGCCAUUUGUCGCCGCAGUUUAGCUUUAAGCGAUAGUCAUCAAAACCAUCAAUAAAUCAGAAAAUACAUCCAUCGAUCCAUUUCCUACCGCUUGUCCCUUACAGGGUCACGGGGGGCGCUGGCGCCUAUCUCAGCUACAAUCGGGCGGAAGGCGGGGUGUACCCUGGACAAGUCGCCACCUCAUCGCAGAGAAAAUACAUUCUUUUAAUAUUUUUUUCUGUAUGUAGCAAAGGUAUUCAAUUAAAGACUUUCUGUUUUUUCAUCAAAGCUCCAUCCAUCCAUCCAUUUUCUACUGCUUGUCCCUUUCGGGGUCGCUGGAGCCUAUCUCAGCUGCAUUGGACAAGUCGCCACCUCAUCGCAGGGCCAAUACAGAUAGACAGACAACAUUCACACUCACAUUCACACACUAGGGCCAAUUUAGUGUUGCCAAUCAACCUUUGCCCAAGUGCAUGUUUUUGGAGGUGGGAGGAAACCGGAGGGAACCCACGGAGUCACGGGGAGAACAUGCAAACUCCACAAGAUCCUGAGCCUGGGAUUGAACUCAGGACUACUCAGGACCUUCGUAUUGUGAGGCACAUCUUCAACCGUGCUGCACUUGAUCAAACCUCUGAAAUGAAUUAACUUUAAAAAAUAUAGAUUUAUGGAUGAAUAUAACAAUAUCACGUAUUGUAUAUAUUAUAACAUCCAUCCAUCCAUUUUUUACCACUUGUCCUUUUCGGGUCAUGGGGGUGGCUGCUGGAGCCUAUCUCAGCUGCAUUCGGGCGGAAGGCGUGGUGCACCCUGGACAGGUCGCCACCUCAUUGCAGUAUAUUAUAACAUUGAAAUACAAAUAUGUAAAUUGAUGUUAACAUACAGGUGAAACUAAAACAUUUUUAAAAUC
Molecule: long non-coding RNA, 1755 nt
Organism: Nerophis ophidion (straightnose pipefish)
Lineage: Eukaryota; Metazoa; Chordata; Actinopteri; Syngnathiformes; Syngnathidae
Exons: 3
Source: RefSeq, a predicted model, not a curated record